This 425-nucleotide ribosomal RNA is filed under the name uncultured bacterium. Its description in RNAcentral is "bacterial SSU rRNA". It matches the Rfam family "Bacterial small subunit ribosomal RNA", at positions 356 to 773 of the family's 1533-position model. The record is from RNAcentral.
GGGGAAUCUUCCGCAAUGGACGAAAGUCUGACGGAGCAACGCCGCGUGAGUGAAGAAGGUUUUCGGAUCGUAAAGCUCUGUUGUUUGAGACGAAUGUGCAGACUUUGAAUAAGGGUUUGUAAUGACGGUAUUAAACGAGAAAGCCACGGCUAACUACGUGCCAGCAGCCGCGGUAAUACGUAGGUGGCAAGCGUUGUCCGGAAUUAUUGGGCGUAAAGGGAGCGCAGGUGGGAAUGUAAGUCAGUCUUAAAAGUGCGGGGCUCAACCCCGUGAGGGGAUUGAAACUACAUUUCUUGAGUGCAGGAGAGGAAAGUGGAAUUCCUAGUGUAGCGGUGAAAUGCGUAGAGAUUAGGAGGAACACCAGUGGCGAAGGCGACUUUCUGGACUGUAACUGACACUGAGGCUCGAAAGCCAGGGGAGCGAAC